UAUACUGUAACACUAAAAGAAUGAGGACCUGGAUCAUAAACUAUACCUGUACUUAUACCUAUACUUAUUUCAAUGUAUUUUUCUCUUACAAAUUCAUCCACCUGUUGCUCUAUCAGUUAACCUCAACAGGAAAGUCCUUUGCUAUAAAUAUAUGACCUAUUACCUUCUAUUGUGCUGUAACACUGUAAGAAUGAGGGUCAGGACCAGCAUACACUAUACCUAUACUUAUUUCAAUAUAUUUUUCUCUUACAAAUUUAUGCACUCGUUGCUCUAUCAGUUAACCUCAACAGGAAAGUCCUUUGCUAUAAAUAUAUGACCUAUUACCUUCUAUUGUGCUGUAACACUGUAAGAAUGAGGGUCAGGACCAGCAUACACUAUAUCUAUACUUAUUUCAAUAUAUUUUUCUCUUACAAAUUCAUGCACUCGUUGCUCUAUCAGUUAACCUCAACACUAACAGCUGUACGUCAUUUUUCAAUUGAUUCGUCACCGCCGUCGUAAAAUUCUGCAUCGAAUCAGUGUGCAGCCACGCGCCUAACGUUACGCACGUUCUAUCGUUGUUACAAAAUAACUGGCAGGAGAAAAAUAUCGUGGAAUGGAACGACAAGGACGAAGAAACUAUUGGCAAAACUUCUCGCGGGUAUCGCAUGUCGAGACCACCGUCAAACUCACCCGCAACGAGCAUGCGAACCCAUAUACAUACUUGUGCAGCUGCUGGCGUAUCUUGGAUGCGGCGCGACACUUAUAGAGGCAAGCAAUGCUAAUUCAAACAAAGUUAUCGUUCGGUAGAUAUAUAUUUAAUUCUUUUCUCAUUUACAUACGAGUACGAUGGCAGCCUCACAAUGUGCCAUUGUCGAGGACCUCUGCUUGAAUGGGCAAGGACCAUCGAGACCGCGUUUCCAGGUGGCGAUAAUUCUCCUAGAUGAAAUUAAGCACAGCCUACGCGCCACACGAACGCAACCAGAUUUAUCUGGAUUCAUUUCAGGCGAAAUCAAAACCAACUGGUUAUCGUGAUACCUGCUCGUAAUUAACUUCUUGGAAGCAACGUGAAGAAGAGUAUUAGGUCGUCCGAAAAGUUCCUUUCGUUCUACAAGAAAAUUGCGUGUGAUGCAUUUUCUUAUAUUAAUAGGAUAAACGUUUGAUAGGUACCAUUUCGGCCAUUUUUCAACGGCAUUAACAUUUGUUAAGAAUCUCGGCCAAGAUUUCGCGAUAUCUCAUUCUGAUCAUCGGUUUUCAUCACUAACCGAACGAUGGACAAAAAUGAGCUGAGAAUUUUGUACGUAACUGUGUACUCGUAUUCCUAACGUACCAUUCGAACAGCGACAGUUGGAUUUUGAUACAACGUCAGGAGAAGAUAAACAAGCAUAUUCGUAGAAAUUUGCUGGAUAUUUUUGCUGAGGCAAACGCAACUCUGAGUUAAGGACAAAAAUGACCCGAAACCCGCACUGGGAUUAAGACAAGCGAAAUAUGUAUGCUGCGUCUGAAUUUUAACUGGAACAUGCUACAUCUGUAAUUAUGAGAAAAUGGGUUGCCAUGAUAUAUUAGCUGCAGUUAGGAUAUUAUUAGCUGCGGAACGUCUUCUUUCCGGACAUUUUGAAAAUCGCCGAAGAACAGUCGUCCCGCUGCGCUCAAGUUUACCUUUUUUCAUGGCAGACAAGAGGUCUCUUUUGUCGGUGAAUUGCACUUUGCUUUUUCGUUGGCACGAGCUGUUAAAUGGUUCCGGAUAUCUUCGGAGAAAGCUACUGAAUUUGCGUCGGGUCUUGUUAUACCCGACAAUGGCUGCAAUCAUCGUGUCUGUGACGCGGAUUAUGAGCAUAAAGUGGGUUCAGAAAGGAAGAGUGCCAUUUUGUAACUGAGAACGAGGAAUUUGCGAAGAAUAAGGAUACAGCGUUUACAUUCUCCUUCUUCAUAAAUCUUCUCUCAGGACCUCACUCGAAGAUAUUUCCAAAUCAUAAUUGAACAAUUUUUAACGUUGAUGGAAAAUCCAUGAAAAUACAGUAUGCAUAUAUUUAAUAUGCAAAAUAUACAAACAAAAAUAUGAAAGUAGAGUAUCCGAAUAUUUAGAAGAUGAGACAAAUCUUUUUGUGUAUAAAGAUACCACUUUUUAGUUCACAAAAAUAUGAACUUAAUGUUUAUGCAAAUUCAUAUUUUUUACAAAUUAAAAAAGAAAGAAACGUUCGAUCUUUCAUCGUAUCUCUGGAUUACGAACAAUCAAUUUGCAAGCUUCUAACAUUCGGAUAAAUAAUUUUGUUUCAUCUCUCUGUUAACUGAAAAUUAUUUAUCAGAAAGCCCCUAAGUAAAUAAGAUUUUCCAAAAAGCGAACGAAUGAGACGAAAAUUAGCGGGUCGGGUCACCAAGCUGUGCACGGUUGGUUCAUCUUCCAAAUUGCUCCUGUUCGUUCUUCUAUUUCCCAUUUAUCAAUCUCUACGAGCACCUUGUACGAGAGAAGCUUCAUCGGGUGUGCGAAAAGUGAAAGGAAAAUUGAACGUGGAAAGAUGGCGCGUACACGGUGGAACGAAAUAGCGUGAAGCCUGGAUUAUCUGCUACACCCUCGUUGGAGUGCCUGGUGUAGACUUGGAGAUUCAUCCUGAUAAGAAUUUCCAUGCUGCGGCAAGUAUCUCGUUAAAAUACAAGCUUUACACCUGUACAGCAGCAUUGGACUACUACAGUGAACUACUACAUCUCACUGAGACGAGGAAAGUCCUGAAACCUCUAAUGGAACUACUUGAACGUAAAUCUACAAGCUAGAAAGUUGGUAAAUAUAGGAACAAAUAUGAAUAAAAAUAGACAAAUAUGUUGGAUAUUAUUAUUAUACGUUGUAAGUAACUAUAAAUGUAAUUAAUUAUUAUUCCAAGUAUUAACUAUUUAUUUGUUUGUGUUUUAAAAAAUCGCAAUUCGACGAUACAUUGUUAGAAAAUGCGAUAAAUUUGUUUGUAUUCUGUGAAUUUUAAUCGAUUCUCCAAUGCUUCCACUUUAUUUCUCCUUUAUUUACACCUUUGCAACAGCUGACGCCAUUUUCUUAACCUAACUGCAACCUUGUAGAUGUUCAGAAUUCUGACAAAACUCAGAAUUACUAAUGUUGAGAUAAUUACUUCAAGAAAAACUCUACAUCUUUAUUUAUGUAUAUCCGUGACCUUGACAAUGCUGUCACGCAGAAAAUAGAAUUUAGAGAAACAAAAAUAUUCUAAAUAAGGAGAGGUGCAUAUUAUUGUGCCCUUGAAUAUAAAUUAUGUUUUGGGUUACAAGGAUUAGGAACAAAGGAACUAAUAAGUAGAUUUCUAUCUAUGUUCCUUGUAGCCUUUAGUUAGAGCUAUAAGAUUAACUACUUUAAUAAUGUUCUUUUACUAUAAAUACAUGAACGUGCUCCCUAUUUUUCUAUUGUA
Long non-coding RNA from Bombus terrestris (buff-tailed bumblebee), 3380 nucleotides. RefSeq lists it as uncharacterized. Lineage: Eukaryota; Metazoa; Arthropoda; Insecta; Hymenoptera; Apidae. The record is from RefSeq and is a predicted model, not a curated record. The transcript has 3 exons.